Molecule: ribosomal RNA, 483 nt
Filed under: Escherichia coli
Lineage: Bacteria; Pseudomonadati; Pseudomonadota; Gammaproteobacteria; Enterobacterales; Enterobacteriaceae
Description: partial 23S ribosomal RNA
Rfam family: Bacterial large subunit ribosomal RNA
Source: RNAcentral
GGGACACGUGGUAUCCUGUCUGAAUAUGGGGGGACCAUCCUCCAAGGCUAAAUACUCCUGACUGACCGAUAGUGAACCAGUACCGUGAGGGAAAGGCGAAAAGAACCCCGGCGAGGGGAGUGAAAAAGAACCUGAAACCGUGUACGUACAAGCAGUGGGAGCACGCUUAGGCGUGUGACUGCGUACCUUUUGUAUAAUGGGUCAGCGACUUAUAUUCUGUAGCAAGGUUAACCGAAUAGGGGAGCCGAAGGGAAACCGAGUCUUAACUGGGCGUUAAGUUGCAGGGUAUAGACCCGAAACCCGGUGAUCUAGCCAUGGGCAGGUUGAAGGUUGGGUAACACUAACUGGAGGACCGAACCGACUAAUGUUGAAAAAUUAGCGGAUGACUUGUGGCUGGGGGUGAAAGGCCAAUCAAACCGGGAGAUAGCUGGUUCUCCCCGAAAGCUAUUUAGGUAGCGCCUCGUGAAUUCAUCUCCGGGGGUA